This 497-nucleotide ribosomal RNA is filed under the name uncultured bacterium. Its description in RNAcentral is "partial 16S ribosomal RNA". It matches the Rfam family "Bacterial small subunit ribosomal RNA", at positions 28 to 507 of the family's 1533-position model. The record is from RNAcentral.
GAUGAACGCUGGCGGCGUGCCUAAUACAUGCAAGUCGAGCGAACGGACGAGAAGCUUGCUUUUCUGAUGUUAGCGGCGGACGGGUGAGUAACACGUGGAUAACCUACCUAUAAGACUGGGAUAACUUCGGGAAACCGGAGCUAAUACCGGAUAAUAUUUUGAACCGCAUGGUUCAAAAGUGAAAGACGGUCUUGCUGUCACUUAUCGAUGGAUCCGCGCUGCAUUAGCUAGUUGGUAAGGUAACGGGUUACCAAGGCAACGAUGCAUGGCCGACCUGAGAGGGUGAUCGGCCACACUAGAACUGGGACACGGUCCAGACUCCUACGGGAGGCAGCAGUAGGGAAUCUUCCGCAAUGGGCGAAAGCCUGACGGAGCAACGCCGCGUGAGUGAUGAAGGUCUUCGGAUCGUAAAACUCUGUUAUUAGGGAAGAACAUAUGUGUAAGUAACUGUGCACAUCUUGACGGUACCUAAUCAGAAAGCCACGGCUAACUACGUG